Molecule: ribosomal RNA, 288 nt
Filed under: uncultured bacterium
Lineage: Bacteria
Description: partial 16S ribosomal RNA
Rfam family: Bacterial small subunit ribosomal RNA
Source: RNAcentral
UAUGACCUACGGGACGCAGCAGUGAGGAAUAUUGGUCAAUGGGCGAGAGCCUGAACCAGCCAAGUCGCGUGAGGGAAGACAGUCCUAUGGAUUGUAAACCUCUUUUGCCGGGGAGCAAAAAGCGGUACGUGUACCGCAUCGAGAGUACCCGGAGAAAAAGCAUCGGCUAACUCCGUGCCAGCAGCCGCGGUAAUACGGAGGAUGCGAGCGUUAUCCGGAUUUAUUGGGUUUAAAGGGUGCGCAGGCGGCGAGUUAAGUCAGCGGUAAAAUUUCGGGGCUGAACCCCGA